Molecule: ribosomal RNA, 497 nt
Filed under: uncultured bacterium
Lineage: Bacteria
Description: partial 16S ribosomal RNA
Rfam family: Bacterial small subunit ribosomal RNA
Source: RNAcentral
GAUGAACGCUGGCGGCGUGCCUAAUACAUGCAAGUCGAGCGAACGGACGAGAAGCUUGCUUCUCUGAUGUUAGCGGCGGACGGGUGAGUAACACGUGGAUAACCUACCUAUAAGACUGGGAUAACUUCGGGAAACCGGAGCUAAUACCGGAUAAUAUUUUGAACCGCAUGGUUCAAAAGUGAAAGACGGUCUUGCUGUCACUUAUAGAUGGAUCCGCGCUGCAUUAGCUAGUUGGUAAGGUAACGGCUUACCAAGGCAACGAUGCAUAGCCGACCUGAGAGGGUGAUCGGCCACACUGGAACUGAGACACGGUCCAGACUCCUACGGGAGGCAGCAGUAGGGAAUCUUCCGCAAUGGGCGAAAGCCUGACGGAGCAACGCCGCGUGAGUGAUGAAGGUCUUCGGAUCGUAAAACUCUGUUAGUAGGGAAGAACAUAUGUGUAAGUAACUGUGCACAUCUUGACGGUACCUAAUCAGAAAGACACGGCUAACUACGUG